CAGCCGUAAACUAUGCGCGUUAGGUGUAUCGGUGACCACGAGUUACCGAGGUGCCGAAGGGAAACCGUGAAACGUGCCGCCUGGGAAGUACGGUCGCAAGGCUGAAACUUAAAGGAAUUGGCGGGGGAGCACCACAACAGGUGGAGCCUGCGGUUUAAUUGGACUCAACGCCGGACAACUCACCGGGAACGACAGCAAUAUGUAGGCCAGGCUGAAGACCUUGCCUGAAUCGCUGAGAGGAGGUGCAUGGCGUAGACGUCU
RNAcentral lists this ribosomal RNA (261 nucleotides) under uncultured archaeon. Its description in RNAcentral is "partial 16S ribosomal RNA". It matches the Rfam family "Archaeal small subunit ribosomal RNA", at positions 748 to 1009 of the family's 1478-position model. The record is from RNAcentral.